GCAUAUCAAUAAGCGGAGGAAAAGAAACCAACAGGGAUUGCCCUAGUAACGGCGAGUGAAGCGGCAACAGCUCAAAUUUGAAAUCUGGCUCUCUUUGGGGGUCCGAGUUGUAAUUUGCAGAGGAUGCUUUGGCAUUGGCGGCGGUCUAAGUUCCUUGGAACAGGACAUCGCAGAGGGUGAGAAUCCCGUACGUGGGCGCCUGCCUUUGCCGUGUAAAGCUCCUUCGACGAGUCGAGUUGUUUGGGAAUGCAGCUCUAAAUGGGAGGUAAAUUUCUUCUAAAGCUAAAUACCGGCCAGAGACCGAUAGCGCACAAGUAGAGUGAUCGAAAGAUGAAAAGUACUUUGGAAAGAGAGUCAAAAAGCACGUGAAAUUGUUGAAAGGGAAGCGCUUGCAGCCAGACUUGCCCGCAGUUGCUCACCUAGGCUUUGGCCUGGGGCACUCUUCUGCGGGCAGGCCAGCAUCAGUUUGGGCGGUUGGAUAAAGGCCUCUGUCACGUAUCUCCCUUCGGGGUGACCUUAUAGGGGAGGCGUAAUGCAACCAGCCCGGACUGAGGUCCGCGCAUCUGCUAGGAUGCUGGCGUAAUGGCUGUAAGCGGCCCGUCUUGAAACACGGACCAAGGAGUCUAACAUCUAUGCGAGUGUUUGGGUGUCAAGCCCGGGCGCGCAAUGAAAGUGAACGGAGGUGGGAACCCUUUGGGUGCACCAUCGACCGAUCCUGAUGUCUUCGGAUGGAUUUGAGUAAGAGCAUAGCUGUUGGGACCCGAAAGAUGGUGAACUAUGCUUGAAUAGGGUGAAGCCAGAGGAAACUCUGGUGGAGGCUCGCAGCGGUUCUGACGUGCAAAUCGAUCGUCAAAUUUGGGCAUAGGGGCGAAAGACUAAUCGAACCAUCUAGUAGCUGGU
This 900-nucleotide ribosomal RNA is filed under the name Paraconiothyrium fuckelii. RNAcentral's name for it is "partial large subunit ribosomal RNA". It matches the Rfam family "Eukaryotic large subunit ribosomal RNA", at positions 38 to 955 of the family's 3401-position model. The record is from RNAcentral. Lineage: Eukaryota; Fungi; Ascomycota; Dothideomycetes; Pleosporales; Didymosphaeriaceae.